UCGGGAAUUUUGGGCAAUGGGGGAAACCCUGACCCAGCAACGCCGCGUGAAGGAUGAAGUAUUUCGGUAUGUAAACUUCGAAAGAAUAGGAAGAAUUAAUGACGGUACUAUUUAUAAGGUCCGGCUAACUACGUGCCAGCAGCCGCGGUAAUACGUAGGGACCAAGCGUUGUUCGGAUUUACUGGGCGUAAAGGGCGCGUAGGCGGCAUGGUAAGUCACUUGUGAAAUCUCCGAGCUUAACUCGGAACGGCCAAGUGAUACUGCUGAGCUAGAGUGCAGAAGGGGGCAAUCGGAAUUCUUGGUGUAGCGGUGAAAUGCGUAGAUAUCAAGAGGAACACCUGAGGUGAAGACGGGUUGCUGGGCUGACACUGACGCUGAGGCGCGAAAGCUAGGGGAGCAAACGGGAUUAGAAACCCUUGUAG
RNAcentral lists this ribosomal RNA (422 nucleotides) under uncultured bacterium. RNAcentral's name for it is "bacterial SSU rRNA". It matches the Rfam family "Bacterial small subunit ribosomal RNA", at positions 355 to 793 of the family's 1533-position model. The record is from RNAcentral.